UACGUAGGGGGCAAGCGUUGUCCGGAUUUAUUGGGCGUAAAGAGCGUGUAGGCGGCCACGCAGGUCCGUUGUGAAAACUGGAGGCUCAACCUCCAGCUGUCGACGGAAACCGUAUGGCUAGAGUCCGGAAGAGGAGAGUGGAAUUCCUGGUGUAGCGGUGAAAUGCGUAGAUAUCAGGAAGAACACCAAUGGCGAAGGCAGCUCUCUGGGACGGUACUGACGCUGAGACGCGAAAGCGUGGGGAGCGAACAGG
Molecule: ribosomal RNA, 253 nt
Filed under: uncultured bacterium
Lineage: Bacteria
Description: partial 16S ribosomal RNA
Rfam family: Bacterial small subunit ribosomal RNA
Source: RNAcentral